UGGAGAGCCCUGAGCAUCCUCUUUGAUGUCACCACUGUUGAGGCAACACCAACUGCCAUUUGGGGCAUUUGUAAAAUGCCUCUGGAGUUCACAAAGAAACGUUGGUGAGACUGAGAAAGCUACUUGAGAGAGAGAAUGGACAGCCUAGAGAAGAGAGAGUGGCAGAAGGAAGCUGGCCAUCUGUCUCAGGAUAAAACAUCAAGAAAUAAAUGUUCCAGGGAAAGGCAGUGUUUCCAUGUCAGAGCGAACCUGCUCUCAGUAAGAACGAGCUCACCUUGACCACUGAGGUCAUCAUGAAGAAGAACAAGUUCCUCUGCUGCCAAGACAGCUUCCUGCAGGACUUAGGGAACCCUGUGGAAGAGGAAGUGAAAAGAGUGCCACAGAAUACUGCAGAUGGCAAGACCAUGGUCCAUCUACUGAGGUGAAGCACAGAUGUGGAGUGGAACCAGACUAACCCUGAGAAGAGCUGCACUGCAUGUGUUGUACAGGGCAGAGCUGGAGAGGGAGGAAUGCCCCAUCCAUUUGGAUUCCAGAAGAUCACAUGAGUAUCAGGUGCUGAACAUUGAACUGUAGGAAUUUGGAUUAAUAAGCUGCAUUUUGGUAUUCUUCCCAUCUAGAAAUUUCUGUGCCCCAGCUCUUCUCUUGUGGAAUAAAAAAAAUCUAAUUUUUUUAGUUUGUUUUACCAGACCCAAUGAGUAGACUUUUGUUUUGUUUGUUUUUUAGAGACCUUGAACUUUUGAAGUGUUGUAAUUUUUAAAGAUUGUGGGAUUUUUAAAACUUACACUGUGUUUUAUAUUAUGAUAUUCACAUAAGAAUUGGGGAACAAGAAAUAAAUGGUUAUGGCAUUCA
Long non-coding RNA from Peromyscus eremicus (cactus mouse), 849 nucleotides. RefSeq lists it as uncharacterized. The transcript is spliced from 3 exons. Lineage: Eukaryota; Metazoa; Chordata; Mammalia; Rodentia; Cricetidae. The record is from RefSeq and is a predicted model, not a curated record.